This 356-nucleotide transfer-messenger RNA is filed under the name Kiritimatiellia. RNAcentral describes it as "UBA1067 sp024405265 Standard tmRNA". It matches the Rfam family "transfer-messenger RNA". Rfam says of the family: Bacterial tmRNA, also known as 10Sa RNA or SsrA, is named for its dual tRNA and mRNA-like properties. Its role is to liberate the mRNA from a stalled ribosome. Lineage: Bacteria; Pseudomonadati; Kiritimatiellota. RNAcentral also lists the same sequence under 1 other name. The record is from RNAcentral.
GGGGGUGAUCCGGUUUCGACGGAAUGUGUUGAGGUCAGAUUGCGCGUCGUGGAUACUCGUUGGCCACGUUAAUAAACGAGUGAAAAUGUAAUUGCGAACAACGAUUACGCUCUUGCCGCCUAAUAUAUAAAGGCCGCAUGUCGAAGCGCCGAUGUCUGCUGAGCGCCUAGGCAUUAUCAUAGCAGAUCACGCUUAAGGGGGCUCCUCUCGCUCGCUUAAGCGUGACGAAUCGAGAGGAUGAGGUCGGCUUAGCGUGUUUGUCCGCUUAUCGGCUUCGAGAUUAAAGAUGAACUACACGCGUAGAUGUUUGGGUGACGCCGUUUCGGACAGGGGUUCGACUCCCCUCACCUCCACCA